Molecule: ribosomal RNA, 253 nt
Filed under: uncultured bacterium
Lineage: Bacteria
Description: partial 16S ribosomal RNA
Rfam family: Bacterial small subunit ribosomal RNA
Source: RNAcentral
UACGUAGGGUGCAAGCGUUAAUCGGAAUUACUGGGCGUAAAGCGUGCGCAGGCGGUGAUGUAAGACAGGUGUGAAAUCCCCGGGCUUAACCUGGGAACUGCAUUUGUGACUGCAUCGCUGGAGUGCGGCAGAGGGGGAUGGAAUGCCGGGUGUAGUGGUGAAAUGCGUAGAUAUCCGGCGGAACACCGGUGGUGAAGGCGAUUCCCUGGACCGAGGCCGACGCUGAGGCGCGAGAGCGUGGGGAGCGAACCGG